CUUUUUUCGCAUUUUGCCUUGUUAAGAGCUCCGCAAUGGCUGACCUGGGAAUUGAGUUUUAAUUAAUGGAGGGAAAUUCUUCUCGUCCGCCCCAUAAUGAGAGAAGACAGAGCCAUUCAAUUUGGCAUUUGGGAGUCUUACCCUACACCCCUUCAGUCCAGCACUUCACCUGUAGGCGCUGCCGGGCAGACAGAGAGCGUCCCGCUUCCACCUCAUCCCAUGGCAGCUCAUUUAAAACACAUCAAGCUGAUUGCUGGGUUUCUGCACUGACAAGGCCCAGCAUUUGUUCCAUCAGCCUGCAGGGUCGCAGACCACACUGAGGAGCAGUGGGGAGUCCUGCUCAGCACCUGCAGCUCUCGCGAGGUGGCCCGCUAGCAAAGAAAGGCUUUGGCCACGGCCCAAAUAUCUGCCUGCACCUUCUGUGCAAACGCGGCAGCCUCAGGAAACCAGGAGGCAGCAAUAUUGUGGAACAAAUGUCCCCUAAUCUCAACCGGCUGGUCUGGGGUCCUAGGUGGGGCCUCCUCCUUAGAGUUUGACCCUGGACCGUGGUCACGCAGGGCGGCGCCACUGGUGACUAAACAGCACGCACCUGCAGAGGUGUCACUCACAGCGACGUCGGGUUCCAUCAGCUCCACCUGAGCUGGAAUUACUACUAGUACUACAGAAGGAAUGGAGUUCAUAUUUUUACUUUUAGAUCAUAUUGUAGAUCAAGUCAAAAUUCACAACAAUGACAAUAAUCACCUGCCAAACAUGUUGCACUUAAUAA
Molecule: long non-coding RNA, 766 nt
Organism: Gasterosteus aculeatus aculeatus (three-spined stickleback)
Lineage: Eukaryota; Metazoa; Chordata; Actinopteri; Perciformes; Gasterosteidae
Source: Ensembl